UCAAGACCCAGAGAUCAUGACCUGAGCCGAAGUCGGACGCUCAACUGACUGAGCCACGCAGCCUCAGAUUCCAAGAAAGCCUUUGCUGCAGCCUGGUCAGUCACACACAGGCACCGGCUGGGGAGAAUGUCAAAGUCCUGGCAAAUUCCACUCUGGACAAGACGGUAAACUUGGGAAACAUCUGCGACUUUUUCAGUUUACAAAGACUUCCUCUCAAGCCAUUAAAACAUGACAAGCCCUGUGUCCUGGAGCCUUGGAAGAACAGUGGAACACCAACAGAAAAACCAACCAACCAACACAACCAACAAAUAAACUAUCAUACUCAUG
Long non-coding RNA from Felis catus (domestic cat), 327 nucleotides. RefSeq lists it as uncharacterized. NCBI's taxonomy places the organism in Eukaryota, Metazoa, Chordata, Mammalia, Carnivora, Felidae. The record is from RefSeq and is a predicted model, not a curated record. The transcript has 4 exons.